This 253-nucleotide ribosomal RNA is filed under the name uncultured bacterium. RNAcentral describes it as "partial 16S ribosomal RNA". It matches the Rfam family "Bacterial small subunit ribosomal RNA", at positions 524 to 776 of the family's 1533-position model. The record is from RNAcentral.
UACGUAGGGGGCGAGCGUUGUCCGGAUUUAUUGGGCGUAAAGAGCGUGUAGGCGGCCAGGUAGGUCUGCUGUGAAAACUCGAGGCUCAACCUCGAGACGUCGGCGGAAACCAUCUGGCUAGAGUCCGGAAGAGGAGAGUGGAAUUCCUGGUGUAGCGGUGAAAUGCGUAGAUAUCAGGAGGAACACCGGUGGUGUAGACGGCUCACUGGACCGUAACUGACGCUGAGACACGAAAGCGUGGGUAGCAAACAGG